ACGAAAUGUGACAUCCUGUUUGCGAUAAACUCAGAUUUAUUUUAUAUUAUUUAUAUGUUAGGAAAACGGGGUGUUACAUUUUG
Molecule: microRNA precursor, 83 nt
Filed under: Medicago truncatula (barrel medic)
Lineage: Eukaryota; Viridiplantae; Streptophyta; Magnoliopsida; Fabales; Fabaceae
Description: MIR2617 microRNA precursor family
Rfam family: MIR2617 microRNA precursor family
Source: Rfam by way of RNAcentral